This 419-nucleotide ribosomal RNA is filed under the name uncultured bacterium. RNAcentral's name for it is "bacterial SSU rRNA". It matches the Rfam family "Bacterial small subunit ribosomal RNA", at positions 355 to 787 of the family's 1533-position model. The record is from RNAcentral.
UGAAGAAUAUUGCGCAAUGGGGGCAACCCUGACGCAGCAACGCCGCGUGAAGGAUGAAGGUUUUCGGAUUGUAAACUUCUUUUAUCAAGGACGAAGGACGUGACGGUACUUGAUGAAUAAGCCACGGCUAACUACGUGCCAGCAGCCGCGGUAAUACGUAGGUGGCAAGCGUUAUCCGGAUUUACUGGGUGUAAGGGCGAGUAGGCGGGCAGACAAGUCAGAUGUGAAAUCUGGGGGACUUAACCCCCAAAGCUGCAUUUGAAACUGUAGGUCUUGAGUGUGGAGAGGCAGGCGGAAUUCCCGGUGUAGCGGUGGAAUGCGUAGAUAUCGGGGAGGAACACCAGUGGCGAAGGCGGCCUGCUGGACAUUAACUGACGCUGAGGAGCGAAAGCGUGGGGAGCAAACAGGAUUAGAUACCC